GUGGUUGUGGCUCAGUGGUAGAGUGCUCACCUAGCAUGUGCAAGGCCCUGGGUUUGAUACUCAGCACCACA
This 71-nucleotide transfer RNA is filed under the name Marmota marmota marmota (Alpine marmot). It matches the Rfam family "tRNA". Rfam says of the family: Transfer RNA (tRNA) molecules are approximately 80 nucleotides in length. Their secondary structure includes four short double-helical elements and three loops (D, anti-codon, and T loops). The record is from Rfam by way of RNAcentral. RNAcentral also lists the same sequence under 1 other name. Lineage: Eukaryota; Metazoa; Chordata; Mammalia; Rodentia; Sciuridae.